RNAcentral lists this ribosomal RNA (468 nucleotides) under uncultured bacterium. Its description in RNAcentral is "partial 16S ribosomal RNA". It matches the Rfam family "Bacterial small subunit ribosomal RNA", at positions 28 to 507 of the family's 1533-position model. The record is from RNAcentral.
GACGAACGCUGGCGGCGUGCUUAACACAUGCAAGUCGAACGGAAAGGCCCUGCUUUUGUGCGGUGCUCGAGUGCCGAACGCGUGAGUGUCACGUGUGUAACCUGCCCUUGUCUUUGGGGUAACUUCAGGAAACUGGAGUUAAUAUAGGACAGGAGAUCCUGCUGCAUGGUGGGGGUUGGAAAAUCUCGGCGGUUGGGGAUGGACUCGCGGCUUAUCAGCUUGUUGGUGGGGUAGUGGCUUACCAACGCAUUGACGGGUAGCCGGCCUGGGAGGGUGACCGGGCACAAUGGGCCUGAGAGACGGCCCAGACUGCUACGGGAGGCAGCAGGGGGGAACAUGGCACAAUGGGCGGAAGUCGUAUGCAGCGACGUCGGGUGCGGGAUGACGGUCUUCGGGUUGUAAACCGCUUUAGCCUGUGACGAAGCGUGAGUGACGGUAAUGGGUAAAGAAGCACCGGCUAACUACGUG